GUCCGUCACGCUGAAAAAAAUCUGUAUGUAUCAAUGUGUGCGGGCGCCGAAAUCCACGUGUGUUUCCUUGAUAAAUCCCAAUCAGCGUGGAAUUGAGCGCAGAUGUCGGAGUGACUGGGCCCGUCCCCGUUACGCCCUCCUAUAAAUAUGCAGAUUUAUUUAAUUAGGGUCUCCCUGUCCUCGCACGCAGACAAAAUGACAAGAAAAACUAAAUUUACGGCAUGCGAGGUGGAGGUGCUGGUGGCGGAGGUGGAGGAGCGACAGCGUGUUUUGUUUGGCAGCCUAUCCAGUGGCUUCAGUGCAAAACAAAAACGCUUGGAGUGGGAGAAAGUUUGCGAGAGGGUGAACGCGAUGGGUUCCGAGACACGCACCCCCGCGGAGAUUAAAAAAAAGUGGUCGGACCUCAAGGUGGAGGUCAAGCGGCGUACAGCUGCCCUCCGGAGGAGUACCGGCCAGACAGGUGGGGGUCCUGGGGAGGAGACCCUCACGCCGUUUGAGCAGCGGGUGGUGGCGAUUAUUAUUAUAGGGUAAGUGGCAUGUCACACAAAUGUCCACAUGCUUUGCCAUCCUACUGAGCAAAAGACGUAUAUUAGACGUCUAGUCUAAGUUUAAACUUCAUUUCAACGUCGGGAUUCAGUCUAUUUUUAGACGUGAUUUAUACUUCGCCCUUUACUUCAUUUUUCGAUAAGUUUUUAUGCAAUAAACAACUGUAAUGUGCAUAACUGACCUCUAAAUACUGGAUUACAUUACCUAUGAUAACGUGGAGAGAGACGUAAACGCAACAGAUACACAGAAGCAGGAAUUGAAAUGAUCCAAUAUUUUUAUUGUGUCACAGAAAUCAAUGUGUCGGCCGUGUCGCCGGCUUGCGGAGCCCCGGCCCGCGGCAGCCCGUCCGCCGAGUUGUCGGCCAGGACCAGCGGCAUUCGGGCCACCCCGGCCCCAGCACCAGCACCAGCACCAGCAUCAGCACCAG
This 973-nucleotide long non-coding RNA is filed under the name Xyrichtys novacula (pearly razorfish). The record is from RNAcentral. Lineage: Eukaryota; Metazoa; Chordata; Actinopteri; Labriformes; Labridae.